Long non-coding RNA from Myotis lucifugus (little brown bat), 5519 nucleotides. RefSeq lists it as uncharacterized. Lineage: Eukaryota; Metazoa; Chordata; Mammalia; Chiroptera; Vespertilionidae. The record is from RefSeq and is a predicted model, not a curated record. The transcript is spliced from 2 exons.
CCACCACUUCGGCCUCCAAAGCUGCUGUAAGAUCCAUCUCUGUGGAAGACAAGACUGACGUCAGGAAGUGGGUCAAUUAUUCUGCACACUACAGCUACCAGGUGGAGAUUGAGCAAAAAAAGAGUUUGAAGCCGGACUUUGAAGGAGAGGAAGUGGAAAACCCCAAGGAGUGUGGGGUCCAGUGACAAAGCCUCGCUGAGAGGCCGUGACCUGAGAGUUCCAAUAGGACAUCUUCCUGAAUAGCUGAAGUUCAAGUCAGUACCUACAUGACUACCCCAUGCUGGGAGCAGUGUAUCGGACCUUCCUGUCUGUAGUUGCCUAUAUGUGAACAGGAGACCCGAGGCGGCGGCUGCAGAGAGGCUCUGACUGCCUGAAGCAGCUGGUUCACCUGGCUUGGAGCUUCCUCAUUAAGCCGCCUCUGCCUCUGCUUAUCUCACAGCACUUGGGUGUGGUUUGUUGUGACUAGGAGAGUCAGGAAAAGAACCUCCGCAUCAGUGUUGGCAUGAUUUCCUUCUGGUGUUCUGUCAUUUACAUGAAUUUCUGGAAAACCCGGUCUUGAGAGGUUAAUUAAGAACCCAUCUCUGUCACUCCCUCUAGAAAAGGUUCAGAAAAGGUACAAAACAAAUUUCCUCUUUAGGUUUCCUAGUCCUUUCGCAGGUGUCUCCAUUCUUUGUAUAUGAACACUAUGCAACAGACGUUUUCGAGAUGCUAGACUGUUUUGAAUGAAACACUUUUUCCAUCUCUCUAAGGUUUUGGUCACAGGAUGGGAAAAAGGCACAGGAAGAUACUCUUUUAUUCUGUGAUUAGCCCCACAUUCUGCAAAGGGUGGCUGUUGAAAGGAAAGCAAAAUGGAUGCUUUCCUUAUUUUUCUUCAUUCUGGGGAAAAGGGACAUUCAUUGUAAGGUUAUAUUCAAUUCAGGAGACAGCUUCAAUCUCAGUGAAUUCCCAAAUUCACAUUGAAAAAUAUAGGCCAUUUCUGAUUUCUGAAACAAGUGGAUAUAUGUUAUACCUCAGGCAUUUGGGAGCUCUUUGUAUACCUCAUAGCCAAUAGAGAGCACAUGUCUCUGUAACUCGGACUUUUCAGGAAACGUAUGCUGAAGAGAUCAUUUCAAAGCUGUUUUAAAACUAAGCUUGUAUGAGCUUUUCCCAGAAAUUCAGAGUGUGACAAGCACAGUAUUGUAAUAGAUCUAAAAGGCAGAAGACUCUAGGGUAGAGAUGGUGGGAAAGCCAUACUUUUUAAACAUAGAUUUUAAGAGUCUGGGACACUCAAUCUUCUUUGCCUUCAUCCGUUCCAGCUCACAUUCUGCACCUCUGCUUCUUAUUUGUACGUUGGUGUUUUCUUACCACACAAGAAGCUACAUCAGCCAUCCCGAAGGGGAUACCUGCUCAACAAUUCAAAGGCAGCCUGUCUCUGUCUUUCUGUAUAUCCAUGAAGAAUGGAAGAGGGGGACAGAGAGCACAUUGAUCAGAUUUGUAGAUGACACAGAAAUAGACAUAUAUCUAGUCUGUUGACCAGGAGAUUCAGGAUUAACUUAUUCAAUGAAUAGUCAUUGAAUUCUAACUAUGUACUGACACUAGGAUAUAGGAAUCAUUAUAAUUUUUUGAAAUACCUGAGCAUAAGACUGAAAUUAAAAAGAUGAAAUUGAAGCAUUAAUGAAAAAAUAUAUUUUGAGUUUUCUUAAAUGCAACCCUCUAAGAACAGCAUGGUAUAUGUGUUGUGUAUUUGUGGAUGUGUGUGUAUAUUGUGUGUGUGUGUGUGUGUGUAUGUGUGUGUGUGUGUGUGUUGAUGGGAAGGGUGUUGGAAAGUCAUGGUUUCAUAGCAGUUCAUGUAGAAAUGUUUUCUUAUGGAAAUAGGAGUUCCGUUUUGAAUCAGGAGUAUAUUGUGGCUAUUCAUAAAGCUAUUUCAUUCAACCUGUGGUAAUAGAAGUCCAGGGAGCCCUGCAAGCUGCACUGGUAAGACCACAUCUGGAUGGAGGGUUGGGUUCAAUUCUGGGUACUAUAUUUUGAGAGAGACAUUAAUACAUUGACUGUGUCCAGAGACAGGUGGCCAGGGUUGUGAAGGGUCUGAUUAUACAAGGAACAGGGGAAUAGAUCCCUAAAGAACAGAAGGUAUAGCUGAAAAGGAAGUGCAGAAAAGGAGGAAAUGAUAUAAUAGGUGCAUUAAAAUUUCUGUUGAGUUAUAAAAUAAGAGAGUACUUAGACUUAUUCUGUGUAGCUUCAAAGGGCAAAAAUAGGAACAAAGGGAAACUUGAUACAUGAUAGAUGUUUGCUUCAAAUAUAAGAAAGUUUUCUAAUAAGAGUUGCUUUAAAGAGGAAUGGACUCAAUAGCAAAAUUUCCUGUUGCUGCAAAUGCUCAGGCAAAAGUUAAAAUAAUGAUCUCUCCCAGAUGCUUCAGAAGGUUCUCUUACGUUGGAUUUGAGCUGAUGACUAAGAUCCCUUCUACAUAUAGUAGUAAUAGGGCUCUCUGACUCUAGGAGUGGUUUUUCAUGCUCUUUGAAAUAUAGCAGGGUCCCCCAGUGAGUGGCGUCAAGUGAGGGUUCCACAGUAUUUCCCUUCCCCACUUGUACUAAAGGCACAUGAGAUUCCUCAUAAAAACAUCAAGGUGAAUUGAAGACUUAGCAAGGUGAAGGUCAUUCUGGCACCUUCCUUGCCCAAGGUUAACAUCCACACGCCCUCUCAAGAGCUCUGCCUCACCUAUUAGCAUCACAUGUGUAUUGCUUGUUGGACCUUGUAUCCCCACUGGCUCAAUUCUGAUUGCUUCAUGCUUUCACCUGGACUUUUUUUUUUUAACCAAGGGCUGGGAAAAUUCCUUCCAUGCUGUCUUUAGAUUCAGCAAGCAAGUUAUUAAUAUUUAAAAACCUACCACUUUGAUUUCAUAAAAUUUGUUUUUCCUCUACUAUUUUGGGGAAACUGAUUAAAGGUAGCCUUUAGGGGCUUGGGGAAUAUAAUACUAUAUAUUUCCAGACCUAGUGUUUUGCUAGUCACCUACACAGAAAACACAGUUGGGCAAAUUACCUUUUUAAAACAAAAACAUCAUUUUAUUUUUUAUUGAUUUAAGAGAGAGGAAGGGAGAAGAGAGAGAGAAAAAAACAUCAAUGAUGAGAGAAUCGUUGAUCGGCUGCCUCCUGCACACCCGACACUGGGGAUUGAGCCUGCAAUCCAGGCAUGUGCCCUGACCAGGAAUUGAACCAUGACCUCCUGGUUCAUCAGUGGAUGCUCAACCACUGAGCCACACCAGUGAGGCUCUCCUGAGUUCUAAAGAUGUUUUCAAAACAUCACCAAGGUCUAAGUGCCAUUUCUCUACAAAUCACCAUUUCUUCAUUAUGCUCUUUAGAAAUGAAACUUGCUUUGGAUAUUAUGACUCAUUUUAUGUAUUUAAGGAAUUAGAAGUGAAUGAGACAUACAAGGCAGUCAUAAACAUAGAAAAAUAAGUGUGUGUAUCAAUAAUGUUUUCCCAUGUAUUAGCUAAAGCAAGAAAACGGAAUUGUUUCAUUUCUUCUAGUGUGCCUUAGCAAAUCUGAUUGAGAGUCUAGUUCUUGGUUUUUAUUUUGAGAAUUGAAAAAAAAUCUCUGACCUUGCAAUUCCAGGCCUUGUAAAGACAAUAUCCAUAGUGAUAUGUUCAGUAGUUCCUGGAGAGAGGUAGAUAACAAUUGUAUGUCAUAAAAAGCUAUUUAAAAACAGACUCCAAAAAAUAGAUUUUCAAUAUGAAUGAGAAUAGAGAGAGAUGACAAAUAUAGCACUGGCCAUCAAACCUCAAAUUCCUGGACUUGAGGCUAUCCCUGAAAAGUAAGGAGCCCUAAGAAAAAUAACGGAUUGCAUAGCAGGGAUACACAAUAGAAUUAGUUCAAGUCAACAAGUAUUUAUCAAGUGUCUACUUUGGUCAAGGUGCUGUGCUAGCAGCCAGCUUCCCUAAAGGGAGCUGCAGCCAAACACAAGGACACUGAGGAUUGCUGGUGUAAAAUCAUUGGUGGGAUUAAAAUUGGGGUUUCUAUGAAUCUUUAAAGGACAUUGUCAUGGAUUGCAUGAAUUGCAUGUUCAGUGACUUGCAAUCUUCCCAGUUGGGCUUCAGUAACCUCAGCGAAGAAAGUGAGGAAGCUGGACUCAUUGUUCCCUCAGGUCCUUUCCAGUUUUAUGGAUUAUUUCACAAAAUACCCUUUGGUGCCAUUGUCAGUGAUACUUCAUGUCAACAGGCCUCUUCACAUAGUCUUAAGAACCAAGACAUUUAAACUUUGAAGAUUGGAAAAGUCAGCUGGCCCAUCUUUUUCCUUUUCAUGUCUCUAUCCUUUACCAUCUGCCCAGACCAUAGAAACACAGGAAACCCUGCAAUCCUCUAUUUUGUAGUUGCCUUCAAAGAAAUAGAUAAAUAUGGAGGAUCAAAGGAUGGUGAAGAUCAACAGGAACACUGCUUGGGAAGGUCCACUGGGAUCACCCAGCACAAUGUAUGAGUGUGAGGAAGAGCAGAGAGCUCUCCAAAAUGGAUGUUGUAUUUGGGUACUACUUGCAGUAGAAGUAGGUCUAACCCUCCAAAGUACUAAGGUACGUUAGGAUGAUCAGCAAUUUAUAGGUAUAUCCUUUUAUACAAAAGACUGAAGAAAUUGAGGGAGGAAAAACCACUCAGUAAACAUCCUAGGACUAUGUCAUACAGUUAUGGCAAAAUGAGAUGAAAGGGUCAGUCCUCCCUAUCCACACUGUCUCCUAGGAACAUAAAAAUGUAGCUUUUGAAUUUUUUCAAACAUGUACAAACUACAAAAUAGCAUCUCUUCUGUGGCAUGUGUUAGUAUGAUUUUAAUUUCUUGUACUUAGAUUUGGUCAAAUGGAAUGGCUCCAUUCGAACUGGACAGAGCAAGAAAUUCCCACAUCCUCUGCCUCUGAUCAAACUCUCAAUGCUAGUUUUGGAUGCCAUCUAGACACACUGACUGAAGCCUUAAGUACCAUGUGCUUCAAGGUCAGCGACCCCACUUGGUUCUAGGGAAGCAGAUGUGCAGAUCCCGACAGCAACCUGUUGGACCAAAGUGUUUAAGGGUUUUAAAGUAUGGGGGUGACAGAAGAGAUGACUAUGAACUCCUCUGACCCUAAGCCAACAUUCAUUUAACCUUUGUGUCCAACUGCCAACAGAGCCUGGAGAAAUUUUCACUAUGUUCAGGAAAUUAGACAGUGUUUUAGUCAGAGAAUGAUAAAAGUGCACCCCUCCUCACCCUGCAUUUUUAUAAUGUCCAUAGUGAAUUUCAAUGUGUCAAGAUGGAUGGACCCAAGAUCCAAUGAAUGAUUCACCUGAUCCAAGGCUUGUAUUUUCCUUCAUUCGUCAGCUAUCUUCAUUUGAUGAAACUUUCUUGUACUAUUGUGAUUAAUUUUAUGUAAAAUUGCUUUACUUAAAAAAAAUAUGUGCCUAUGUAAUAAAGUCUACACACUGGCUAACUCUGUAGAGGUGAGAUUUUGUUUUUAAUUGUUCUGCUGAUUAUCAUCUGUAAUACCUUUUUGAACUAUGAAAAUGAGCUAUUAAUAAACAUUUCUAAGCAAAA